RNAcentral lists this ribosomal RNA (450 nucleotides) under uncultured bacterium. Its description in RNAcentral is "bacterial SSU rRNA". It matches the Rfam family "Bacterial small subunit ribosomal RNA", at positions 30 to 506 of the family's 1533-position model. The record is from RNAcentral.
AUGAACGCUAGUGAUAUGCUUAAUACAUGCGAGUUUUAAUUGACAUUUUUAUAUAUGUUAAUAGCGUACGGGUGAGUAAUGCAUAAGAACAUACUUUACAUCCUAGAAAUUAAAGUCUAGUAAGGGUUUUUUUUAAAUAAAUUAUUUAUUUAUUUUAAAUACUUGAAAAUUAAUAUUGGUGUAAAAUUGGCUUAUGUAGAAUUAGAUAGUUGGUGAGGUAAUGGCUUACCAAGUCGAUAAUUCUUAGUUGAUCUUAGCGGAUGAUCAACCACAUUGGGACUGAAACAUGGCCCAAGCUCUUUUUUGAGGCAGCAGUAAGGAAUAUUGGACAAUGAACGAAAGUUUGAUCCAGCAAUAUCACGUGAAUGAUGAAGGUUUAUUUUAUUGUAAAGUUCUUUCGAUAGGGAGGAUAGUGACGUUACCUAUAAAAGAAGUCCCGACUAACCUCGU